GACGAACGCUGGCGGCGUGCUUAACACAUGCAAGUCGAACGGUGAAGCGCCUUCCUUUUUGGUGGGUGUGGAUGAGUGGCGAACGGGUGAGUAACACGUGAGUAACCUGCCCCCUUCUUCUGGAUAACCGCAUGAAAGUGUGGCUAAUACGGGAUAUUCUGGGUCUGUCGCAUGAUGGGUCUGGGAAAGAUAUUGUUUCGGUGGGGGAUGGGCUCGCGGCCUAUCAGCUUGUUGGUGGGGUGAUGGCCUACCAAGUCGGUGACGGGUAGCCGGCCUGAGAGGGUGGACGGUCACACUGGGACUGAGACACGGCCCAGACUCCUACGGGAGGCAGCAGUGGGGAAUAUUGCACAAUGGGCGCAAGCCUGAUGCAGCGACGCCGCGUGAGGGAUGGAGGCCUUCGGGUUGUGAACCUCUUUCGCCAGUGAAGCAGGCCUGCCUCGUUUGUGGGUGGGUUGACGGUAGCUGGAUAAGAAGCGCCGGCUAACUACGUG
Molecule: ribosomal RNA, 494 nt
Filed under: uncultured bacterium
Lineage: Bacteria
Description: partial 16S ribosomal RNA
Rfam family: Bacterial small subunit ribosomal RNA
Source: RNAcentral